AUUGAACGCUGGCGGCAGGCCUAACACAUGCAAGUCGAGCGGAUGAAGGGAGCUUGCUCCUGGAUUCAGCGGCGGACGGGUGAGUAAUGCCUAGGAAUCUGCCUGGUAGUGGGGGAUAACGUCCGGAAACGGGUGCUAAUACCGCAUACGUCCUGAGGGAGAAAGUGGGGGAUCUUCGGACCUCACGCUAUCAGAUGAGCCUAGGUCGAAUUAGCUAGUUGGUGGGGUAAAGGCCUACCAAGGCGACGAUCCGUAACUGGUCUGAGAGGAUGAUCAGUCACACUGGAACUGAGACACGGUCCAGACUCCUACGGGAGGCAGCAGUGGGGAAUAUUGGACAAUGGGCGAAAGCCUGAUCCAGCCAUGCCGCGUGUGUGAAGAAGGUCUUCGGAUUGUAAAGCACUUUAAGUUGGGAGGAAGGGCAGUAAGUUAAUACCUUGCUGUUUUGACGUUACCAACAGAAUAAGCACCGGCUAACUUCGUG
This 484-nucleotide ribosomal RNA is filed under the name uncultured bacterium. Its description in RNAcentral is "partial 16S ribosomal RNA". It matches the Rfam family "Bacterial small subunit ribosomal RNA", at positions 30 to 507 of the family's 1533-position model. The record is from RNAcentral.